This is a long non-coding RNA of Bombina bombina (fire-bellied toad), 372 nucleotides long. RefSeq lists it as uncharacterized. The record is from RefSeq and is a predicted model, not a curated record. NCBI's taxonomy places the organism in Eukaryota, Metazoa, Chordata, Amphibia, Anura, Bombinatoridae. The transcript has 3 exons.
CCAAUAAACCAGCAGUCACUGGGCUGAAUUAUCAUCCUAAGAGUGAAGAUCUGCUUGUGGCAGCUGCAGUGGACGGCACUAUCAACAUAUAUGACAUUGUUUCAGGAUUAAAUAUCUGCUCGUUAAUAGAACAAGGCAAUGAAAUCAACGCUUUGGAUUUUUGCAUGGACGGCAGUGUUUACGCCACAGCUGGGAAGGACAGAAACAUACGCUUGUAUGACAGUCACAAAAAUGAGGUUUUGAAUACCUUUGAAGCCCCUAAUCCACUGACGCAGAGUGAAAUAUCACCGUUAAGUGGCCACAGUCGUAGAAUCUUUGCAUUGAAGUUUCACCCCUCAGAAUACCAUAUUUUCCUAACUGGUGGUUGGGAUG